Molecule: ribosomal RNA, 799 nt
Filed under: uncultured Actinomycetes bacterium
Lineage: Bacteria; Bacillati; Actinomycetota; Actinomycetes
Description: bacterial SSU rRNA
Rfam family: Bacterial small subunit ribosomal RNA
Source: RNAcentral
ACGAUGAAGCUGGAGCUUGCUCCGGUGGAUUAGUGGCGAACGGGUGAGUAACACGUGAGCAAUCUGCCCUUGACUCUGGGAUAACUGCGGGAAACUGUAGCUAAUACCGGAUACGAGGCUCGAAGGCAUCUUCGGGUCUGGAAAGAAUUUCGGUCAAGGAUGAGCUCGCGGCCUAUCAGCUUGUUGGUGAGGUAAUGGCUCACCAAGGCGACGACGGGUAGCCGGCCUGAGAGGGUGACCGGCCACACUGGGACUGAGACACGGCCCAGACUCCUACGGGAGGCAGCAGUGGGGAAUAUUGCACAAUGGGCGAAAGCCUGAUGCAGCAACGCCGCGUGAGGGAUGAAGGCCUUCGGGUUGUAAACCUCUUUUAGCAGGGAAGAAGCGAAAGUGACGGUACCUGCAGAAAAAGCACCGGCUAACUACGUGCCAGCAGCCGCGGUAAUACGUAGGGUGCAAGCGUUGUCCGGAAUUAUUGGGCGUAAAGAGCUCGUAGGCGGUUUGUCGCGUCUGCUGUGAAAACCUGAGGCUCAACCUCAGACCUGCAGUGGGUACGGGCAAGCUAGAGUGCGGUAGGGGAGAUGGGAAUUCCUGGUGUAGCGGUGGAAUGCGCAGAUAUCAGGAGGAACACCGAUGGCGAAGGCACAUCUCUGGGCCGUAACUGACGCUGAGGAGCGAAAGCGUGGGGAGCGAACAGGAUUAGAUACCCUGGUAGUCCACGCCGUAAACGGUGGGUGCUAGUUGUGGGUCACAUUCCACGUGAUCCGUGACGAAGUUAACACAUUAAGCACCCCGCCUG